AUUGAACGCUGGCGGCAUGCCUAACACAUGCAAGUCGAGCGAGCGGCGGACGGGUGCGUACUGUCUGGGAACCUGCCUGAUGGAGGGGGAUCACUACUGGAAACGGUAGCUAAUCCCGCAUACCAUCAGAUGUGCCCAGGUGUGAUUAGCUAGUAGGUGGGGUAACGGCUCACCUAGGCGACGAUCCCUCGCUGGUCUGAGAGGGUGACCAGCCACACUGGAACUGAGACACGGUCCAGACUCCUACGGGAGGCAGCAGUGGGGAAUAUUGCACAAUGGGCGCAAGCCUGACGCAGCCAUGCCGCGUGUGUGAAGAAGGCCUUCGGGUUGUAAAGCACUUUCAUCGGGGAGGCGUUACCCGCAGAAGAAGCACCGGCUAACUCCGUGCCAGCAGCCGCGGUAAUAC
Molecule: ribosomal RNA, 406 nt
Filed under: uncultured bacterium
Lineage: Bacteria
Description: partial 16S ribosomal RNA
Rfam family: Bacterial small subunit ribosomal RNA
Source: RNAcentral